This 197-nucleotide non-coding RNA is filed under the name Syntrophaceae bacterium. RNAcentral describes it as "6S RNA". It matches the Rfam family "6S / SsrS RNA". Rfam says of the family: E. coli 6S RNA was the first non coding RNA to be sequenced, but its function was unknown until recently. It consists of 184 nucleotides that fold into an extended hairpin structure with a large single-stranded internal bulge. Lineage: Bacteria; Pseudomonadati; Thermodesulfobacteriota; Syntrophia; Syntrophales; Syntrophaceae. The record is from RNAcentral.
UAACCCCUGCGAUGUGCGUGAUUAACAUUUGUUUCUGAGCCAACACUUUGAACUCGGGGUCUAUUCUUGUUUGUGGUGUGCAUGUCCGCCUUUUUCCCGUCAGUCGGGAGGCGGAAAGCCUGAAGCAAUACAAUACUGGACGCCCACUUUGUAAAAUGGUUCAAAAAUACUAUUAACACGGCAUAGGCGGGGGUUUU